GAUGAACGCUAGCGAUAGGCCUAACACAUGCAAGUCGAGGGGUAACAGGGGUUUCGGCCCGCUGACGACCGGCGGAUGGGUGAGUAACACGUAUGCAACCUACCUACGACAUUGGGAUAACCCGUUGAAAGGCGGACUAAUACCUUAUAUCAUAUAAUUCACGCCUGUGUAUUAUAUGAAAGAUUUUAUCGGUUGUAGCUGGGCAUGCGCAUGAUUAGCUAGUUGGUAAGGUAAUGGCUUACCAAGGCAACGAUCAUUAGGGGUCCUGAGAGGGAGAUCCCCCACACUGGUACUGAGACACGGACCAGACUCCUACGGGAGGCAGCAGUGAGGAAUAUUGGUCAAUGGAGGCAACUCUGAACCAGCCACGUCGCGUGCAGGAUGACUGUCUUAUGGAUUGUAAACUGCUUUUUCGGUAGAGUAAUUAGCACUACGUGUAGUGUUUUGCAAGUAUACCGAGAAUAAGGAUCGGCUAACUCCGUGCCAGCAGCCGCGGUAAUACGGAGGAUCCGAGCGUUAUCCGGAUUUAUUGG
This 533-nucleotide ribosomal RNA is filed under the name uncultured bacterium. RNAcentral's name for it is "bacterial SSU rRNA". It matches the Rfam family "Bacterial small subunit ribosomal RNA", at positions 28 to 557 of the family's 1533-position model. The record is from RNAcentral.